This is a long non-coding RNA of Monomorium pharaonis (pharaoh ant), 3053 nucleotides long. RefSeq lists it as uncharacterized. The record is from RefSeq and is a predicted model, not a curated record. The transcript is spliced from 2 exons. NCBI's taxonomy places the organism in Eukaryota, Metazoa, Arthropoda, Insecta, Hymenoptera, Formicidae.
UGAUUUUCAGGGUAAUUUUUAAAAGAAAAUUCUCUCCGUAUAUGCAGAUUUCUAGAUACUUGAAUAAUGGAAGUUGGUAAAAUAUUCUAUAUAUAUAUAUGUAUAUUUUAUACAUUCUAUUUUUAGAAGUUUGUAUCUUAUCGUAAUUUCGAAUUUAUUCUUUGCUGUUGCAGGAAGCGGUAGCAAAGAUGGAAAGAGCAAGGAUAAUAAUUCACCCUCUGGUCCUUAUGCCGGAUGCGCGGACGGUGGCGACGCGCCCAAGAAGAAAGGCUUCUUCAAGGGCUUUUGGAAGCGAUCGCGCCACUAUUCGCUGGAGAACCAAUAGCCCAGGUGCGCGAGGGUGACGAGCCACCAUCAUCAGCGGUACAGGCAGACGCGGCAGCAGCAGCAACGGCAGCAACGGGGCAUCGCGGCCACCACGACCCUCGCGAGCAACCCCUGCUGCUGUAUCGUCCAGUAACCCCGAUUUUACAUCGACCGCGACCACAUCCUCUCAUCUCCUCGAACCGAUCCGACGCAUAGCGCAGAACACGUUCCAGCAAUGUUGCAGCAACGUUUCCGCAAUAUAUUGUUGAAAUGUUACAUUACAUUCUGCGCUGCACGAGACGUCCCUUUGCACUCGCGACGGUGCACUUUCGCGUUCCUCUCGCAUACGGAAUUCGCGCGCGUUUUACCCUCAUCCCUUUCUCCCCCUGAUUUGACCGAGUACGUUUUACGUUAGCUUAAAUCUUGCAUCAUUUGUGAAAUAACAUUUAAAACUUGAAUAACAUUCUAUGUAUGAUUUGAUAAUCAUUGGGAGCCUAUAUACACAUAUAAACUCAUAAAUACACGCAAGCAUAAACUUGCGAAAGAUUAUUCUUUACAUGUCUUGUAUCAUUGAAAAAAGAGAAAAAAAACGAACUCCAGAUUUGUUGUAUGUACAUAGAUUAUAACGAUGUAAUUAAUCCUCUUUUUUUUUUGUAUUCACCUUUAAUGGUAUUAAAGCAAAAUCUGCCCCUUUUGCUCCUUUCAGAACAAGGUCAGCCGGGAUGAUUUUUCAGGUCCGCCGCAACAGGGUGAGUCUUUGCGUGUUACUCGGUUUCCACUUACAAUUUGACACACCUUCCUCCCAAAAAGCAUCGAAUAUUUUGUAUAAUGAUAAAACUCACUCGAUUCGGUCGAUAAAUUUAUCAACUUGACCAUUAACCGACUUCCAAAGGAGAGGAUUUCCCGGUGGUUUUCCAUGCGAAAAUUUCGGAGCUCCCGCGCAAAAUAAUGGACAACACCUUGUCCUACUUGUUGUCAUUAAUCAGCUCGGAGAAUUUGCGCGGCGCCGGGGAAUCCCGAUUACUUUCGCGGGAGAAUGUGUCACGGUCCGUAGCUGGAACGAGAGUCGUCUCGUAUCGAAACGCUUUUUCACGCUGUCUUCGUCACGCCGUCUGCACCGGGUUCCCUCGCCACGUAUUUUCGCGCGCCUAAAGAGAUUCGCGAAUUCCGUACGAACGUUUACGGCGUACGAACAUGCCGACGGGCUUUUUUCGCCAAUUGACGAAUUUAUCCUACUAAAUUGCCUUUUACAACAAUUACGUAAUUAAUUUCUAAGAAAAGUUGAAAGUUUUUAAUAAACACACUAACAUUUACCGUGGCGUAUCCAUUAGAACGCUAAGAGAAAGGUAUUUUGUAAAACGCAAAGAAUCCUUUUGAUAACAGCCCCAACAACAUAUUUGUUUUCUUUUUUUGUAAUAUCUAUGUUAUACUCGCAAAUACAAAAUACUUGUCUCUCAAUGAACAUUCUCGACGACGACAGUGUUUCGAACACUUUCCUAUCGUAAGCGGUCCUAUCGUAAGAUUCUUUUAUCGCUGUUACGUGAAGUGCAUUUCGUCGAUUGGCGAGACCGCGUCGCUUUUACAAUUCAAAUCUUUCCAGCAUCCUCUCCUUUUGUAAUCGAGAAACGCACCCCCGCGUUUGUAGAGAUAAAAUGAGAAAUAGAAUAAUAAUAACAAUAAACAAUUAAAUGCAGAGUAUAUAUUUGAGUGUACUCGACUGCGCGCGUGUGUGUGUGUGUGUAUGAUAAGACGAGAACGAAAGCGUGUGAGUAAAAAGAGAGAAAGAGAUAAUAUGGGCGCAAAUGCGACGAAAAGAGGAUAUCAUACCAUUAUUAUUGAUACGAUUGUAAGUUCAUAGAAUCAUUAACACGUUGUAAUGUUAUUAUUAUUAUAAUGGGACGAUCACACGCGCGUGCGCGUAUAGUAUAGAUACGUACGUACUGGCGUACACAUACACAUACCCACACUCUGACACGCGUUAAUGCUAAGUGGAAUAAUAUUAUUGAUUAACAUUAUUGCCAAUAAUAUACGAUUAACUUGCGGUUAUAGCUGAUAAUGUAAACGAAGAGACAGGACCCGGACGAUAACGAUGAUAACUACGAUCCGUAUGUAUUUAAUAGAAUUUUUAAGUCAAUGUGUCGCAUUCAUCCCCUCGGAUAUCCGACAAGGACGACCGCCGGCUGUAACGUCAAUCGGUCGAAUGCCAAAGAUUCGGUCCCGUGGUGCGUCGAGCUGGAGAGAAACUGCCGUAGGAGGAGAGGAGAAAACCGUCGUUGAGCCAACCGUUCUAUCUUCUCACGCGCGCGCAUACAUUUGUAAAAUAUAUUUCCAUUGAUUUCAUAUUCUCGCCAAUACAAUUCGAUUGCGACAUUUGUAUCGAAAAGGUGAACGAAAGGAGGAAUUGGCGUUACUCCGUUCCCGGAAAUUUGUGUUUACGAUCAGAUCGUGAGCGAAAGGUCUGCUUUUCUCUUGCAAACGAUAAAAUGAUAUCUGAAUGUAGGAAUAAUUUUCAAUGGGGAAAAAAGAUGUCGGAGGCAAAAGGAUAUUCAACGUCGUGGAAAGUUUCACCGAACAUCGCGCGGAGGAUUAUAUUGCUUUCUGUCUCGGCUCAUCUCGGUAUGUUCGUCUCACUUUUUUGCGCGAAGGACCUCCUCAGGCGUAUCUUCUUGCCUCUGACGUUCUCGAUUACUCGUUAAAUGUUAGAACAAAUUGACAGACGCUUGAGAAAUAUAAUUUAUCUUACUAAA